UAAGUGAAAUAAGCCAGGCACAGAAAGGCAGACAGGGAAUGUUCUCACUUAAUUGUGGGAUCUAAAAAUCAAAAGAAUUGAACCCAUCUCUCUUGUCUACCUCUCACCUUCCCGAAUUAGAUAGAUCCACAUCCAUCUCGUCACUUUUGUGAUUUAUGACAGCAUAAAGUAGUAGAAAGACAAAGGCUGGGAGCCAGAGGCCUAGAGGUUCAAAUCUCAGCUCUUCUUCUUCCUUACCUCCUGACCCUAGGCAAUUUAUUCAAGCUCUCUAAGAAUCAGUUUCCACGUCUAUGAACUGAGGAUAAUUACAGCACCUACCUCAUGAUACUGCUGUGAGGACUGAAUGAGAUCAUUCAUAUCCAGUGUUUAGCAUAAUGCCUGGUACACAGUAGGCACUUGAUCAAUGUCAUUUAUAAUUACUGUUUUUAGAUUUUUGAAUGAGUUUUAAAAGCAGAGUAUUUAUCUAUAGCCAGGUGUAGCAGGUGUAUUGGCGCCCUGUCCACAUCUUGGUACCUCCAUUCUCAUAGGCACUGAUGGAAUCCUAUUGCAAGAACCCCCCACUCAGACUGUCUGCGGGCUUUCUCUGACACGCUGCUUUCCUGCAGAACCUGCUUCUUAGGGAACUCAACCUGAGAUCCGGACCACAUGAGUUGGAUGAAGAAACCCCA
Molecule: non-coding RNA, 668 nt
Organism: Macaca mulatta (Rhesus monkey)
Lineage: Eukaryota; Metazoa; Chordata; Mammalia; Primates; Cercopithecidae
Source: RefSeq, a predicted model, not a curated record